Molecule: long non-coding RNA, 468 nt
Filed under: Olea europaea subsp. europaea
Lineage: Eukaryota; Viridiplantae; Streptophyta; Magnoliopsida; Lamiales; Oleaceae
Source: RNAcentral
GUACAAACCCACAAAUCUAAGAGCUUUCGUUGAAAUCAUGAGCCAGGAAAAUCAUAUCCACAGUAUGAUCCUUUCUAUGGUACAUUGAACAAUAUUUUUCCUCCUAACAGAAUAUAACACAACAAAGAACGUUUUCUCGAGUCAAGUAGAUAUGCAAAGAGAUGUUGAAUCCAUACCUGAGUUUAAACGAAAGAUAAAAUAAGUCAGUUUAUAGAAAUAACAGCAUCCGUGUUCAGUGAUCACGACUGACUUAAUAAUAUGAAAGAUGUCUAGAACCAAAAGAAGGAACAUAAAUGAGAAGUUUGAAAUUUGUAUCCCAAAGUUCGUAGCUUUUUUAUUUGGUUUCUGCAGAGUUGAGUCGAAUGAAGCAAUCCCUAAAUGUUCCAUAGUUCUUUACUUUAUAACAAGAAAUUUAAGUGCUCGUGUAAUUUACGUCUCAUUUUUCACCUUGUCCUUCCUUACUUUCCC